CUUUCCUCCUACUCAUGAUCAACACUGAGAACCGGACGCCUGUCUGGGGGGGAAGGGAGGCAGGAACCAAGACAGCAUGGAAGAGAGAGAGAAAGAUUCAGAGUUUUGUAGGCGUGGCAUCUUAACUACAAUUGAUUCAUUUGUCCGUUCACCACAAGCUACACCCAGGCAUGGAUCACUUUUAACCAAUUACUUGGAGUUCCAGCAAAAUAAUCCAGAAUGAAGGAAUGCAACAAUUGCAGUGUCACCUAUAGGACAAAUAAUUUAACUAUGAUGGAAGAGCAUUUCAUGCAGUCAGUCAUACAAGAAACCCAGUGACUACUCUAUCCAUCUGACAAUCCAUGGAUACUCACAAGAAAAGCUACUGCAGACUCCUCACAAACGGUAACACAUACAAAAAAUGCAAAGACAACAUAUCAGCCCAUGGAAAAGAACUUAGAGGGUGAACAACCUUUCUU
Molecule: long non-coding RNA, 458 nt
Organism: Paramormyrops kingsleyae
Lineage: Eukaryota; Metazoa; Chordata; Actinopteri; Osteoglossiformes; Mormyridae
Source: RefSeq, a predicted model, not a curated record